Triticum aestivum (bread wheat) is the source of this 4570-nucleotide RNA transcript. It is a transcript of the gene named putative disease resistance protein RGA4, with no coding region annotated. The transcript is spliced from 6 exons. NCBI's taxonomy places the organism in Eukaryota, Viridiplantae, Streptophyta, Magnoliopsida, Poales, Poaceae. The record is from RefSeq and is a predicted model, not a curated record.
CUCUGCGCAAGAAAGAUUGCACUAUCUGUCUAGAUGAUGAGGUGGGCACAUUAGGUACAACAAUUUGUACACUCAAAUUAGGACUGGCAUAAGUCAAUAGGAUCCCCUUUAUCAAAAAAAAAGUAUGAUUGUCUUGGCCUAAUCUAUGCAUCAUUGGGCAGUUGGCAGUGACGAAUGCUUACAACUAAAUUACUACACAGCAAUGAAUUAAUACUAAGCAGCUCGCCAGUCUCUUUCACAAGACUAAGCAGCUCGCCAGUCUCUUUCACCAUCGCAGCUCGCCGCCUUUGUUGAAUAGGCUGUUUGUUUUACCCUGCAUUUUUUCUAUACUAGAGAAGCAGAGGAGGGGGACUAGUUUCUACCACCUAGUGUUGUCUCUCUGGGUAUCCAUCCAGUGCUUUAUGUGCUCUCUUGCUUGUAUCCAGUAGGCAGGUAAGGCAUCAGGAAUUCAAGAAGAGAAUUUGAAGAUAUUGUUCGCCCUAUUCUCUCCCGUUGAUCGCGAUGGUCCGGUGGAGAUAGGAAACAGUUUGUGGAUCUGUGCUAACACGCACCGUGCCUCUCUCCUCUUGCAGCACGCUCAUCAGUGCCUUAUCAGUUUAGUUACUGACCCGUAUUCAGGUGAUGGCAGCAUGGUUUUAUUCUUGGUGAUUUGAUUGAUUUUCUUCUCUUCUCUAUUUUUAUCCUGGCCUGCGCUCAACCUUGUGAGGUCUUGAAAGCAGUGAUGGGUUGAUCGAAGCAAACCGUGUCUUCAAGGUCAUCAAUAUUGAUUCCUACUGUAGAUGGUUUUUUCCCUGUUGGAAGACUGCUUUCUAAGGUCAACCUGAUGUUUUUGGUGGGCCUCCUGAGCUGAGUUUCUCAGAGCAAUGGCAACCAUACUAGAAUCUUUGCUUGGGUCAUGUGCCAAUAAGUUGCAAAAUAUUAUUAGUGAUGAGGCCAUACUAAUCCUAGGGGUGGAAGAAGAGCUUGCAGAAGUGUUGAGACGGGUAGAACUAAUACGUUGGUGUAUAUAUGAUGCUGAGAAAAGGAGGACAAAAGAGCUUGCAGUGAACAAUUGGCUUGGUCAACUGAGAGAUGUUAUAUAUGAUGUUGAUGAAAUUUUGGACAUGGCUAGAUGCAAAGGAAGCAAACUACUGCCUGACCAUCCAUUAUCAUCAAGCAAAUCAGCUUCCUAUAAAGGACUUUCAGUUUCCUCUUGCUUUUGUAACAUCGGGUCACCCCACGAUAUUGCUGUUCGGAUUAGAAGUCUGAACAAAAGGAUAGAGAACAUUUCGAAAGAUACAACAUUUUUAACAUUCAGCAGUAGUUCACAGCCUACUGGAAAUGGUCCAACAACCAAAUUGAUAAGAAGUUCCAACCUUGUUGAGCCCAACCUUGUGGGUAAGGAGAUCAUAUAUUCAAGCAAGAAGUUGGUAGACUUAGCACUUGCUCACAAGGCAAAUAAGUCUUAUAAGCUUGCUAUUGUUGGAACAGGAGGAGUUGGUAAGACAACACUAGCUCAGAAAAUAUUCAAUGACCAAAAAAUAAAAGGAAGCUUCAAGCUACAGGCAUGGAUUUGUGUUUCGCGGGACUACAAUGAAAUAACUGUUCUAAAAGAGGUUCUUCGAAAUAUUGGUGUGUAUCAUGAGCAAGGCGAAACCAUAGCAGAACUGCAGAGAAAGCUUGCAGAAACAUUUGAAGGGAAGAGUUUCUUUCUGGUUUUAGAUGACGUGUGGCAUCCCAAUGUCUGGACGGAUUUAUUAAGAACCCCAUUCCAUACAACAAAUUCUGGAGUAAUAUUGGUAACCACGCGAGAUGAUCAAAUUGCAAUGAGAAUAGGCAUACAACAUACCCAUCAAGUUGAUCUCAUGUCAGCAGAGGUGGGAUGGGAGCUACUUUGGAAGAGCAUGAACAUUGCCGAAGAGAAAGAAGUGCAUAAUUUGAGAAACACAGGCAAGGAGAUUGUUGAUAAAUGUGGUCGCCUCCCUCUUGCAAUUAAGGUUACUGCUAGUGCUUUGGCAAGCAAAGAUCUAACCGAGAAUGAGUGGAGAAAGUUUUUAGGCAAAUACUCUGGCUCCCAGGGGAUGCUCUCUGAUGAAAUAGAAGGCACUCUAUACCUAAGCUAUGAUGAGUUACCGCAUCGUCUGAAACAGUGUUUCCUUUACUGUGCUUUGUAUACUGAAGAUUCUAUCAUUUACCGUGGUGUAGUUACAAAGUUAUGGAUUGCUGAAGGCUUCAUUGAGGAGCAACAAGGCCAGCUACUAGAACACACAGCAGAAGAGUACUACUAUGAGCUAAUCCAUCGGAAUCUCCUCCAACCAGAUGGCACAAUUUUUAACCAGGCUCAAUGCAGAAUGCAUGACCUCUUAAGACAGCUUGCUUGCAAAUUAUCACGGGACGAAUGCUUUAUUGGAGACGCUGAAACAUUGAGGGGUGAGAAUAUGUCAAAAUUGCAACGCCUUUCUGUUGUCGAUAAGAAGGAUAAAUUAGUGUUAACUAGCAUGGAUAACAUGGUAGUUAAGGUGAGGACAUUCCUUGCUUUUUAUGGUCCAUGGAAAAUUGAGGAUACAUUCUUCAAGAGAUUUCUACUUCUUCGUGUUCUGGCCCUGAAUUACUCAAUUGUGCAAAACAUUCCAGAUUAUAUAGGAAAAUUGAUCCAUCUACGCCUACUUGAUCUUGGUCAUACGGGCAUAUCUCAUCUUCCAGAAUCCAUUGGAUCCCUAAAGAACCUUCAAGUAUUGAGCUUGAUAAAUUGUUAUGCUCUGCAGAGUCUUCCGUCGGCGAUGACCCAAUUGUGCAAUCUACGAUGUCUUCGUCUUACUGGUACAAAAGUAAAUCAGGUUCCAAAAGGGAUAGGAGAGUUAAAUUUGCUCACUGAAUUACGCGGAUUUCUUGUCGGCGACAUAAGUGAUAAUGCUGAUGUACAAGAUGGGUGGAAGUUGGAAGAGUUGUCUUCUUUGCCGCAAAUGAUGUAUCUUAAUCUUGUUAAAUUGGAAAGAACGGCUCAUUUUCAUACAAAUGUAGUGCUGGAGGACAAAAAACAUCUAAAAGAAUUGGUGCUAGAGUGGACCACACAUGGAGAGGGACCAUAUUCAGAAGAUGUUUGCAAUGCUGAGAAGGUCUUUGAGCUGCUAGUACCUCCAUGCAACUUGGAAACCCUCUAUAUCUUUGGAUUCUUUGGUCAGAGGUAUCCCACGUGGUUUGGUACCACCUGUUUGUCUUCAGUAACACACUUGUUCCUAAAAAAUCUACAAUCAUGCGUGGAUCUUCCACCGGUCGGACAGCUACCAAACUUGAAGUUUCUGAGAAUUGAUGGAGCACAUGUAGUUACCAAGGUUGGACCUGAAUUUGUUGGCUACAGGGUGGGUGAACCCAUAAGCAAUGAGUUCAUUGCUUUCCCUAAACUUGAAUGGUUCUUCGUCAAGGAUAUGCCCAACUGGGAGGAGUGGUCUUUUUUUAAGGAAGUGGAAAAUGUUGUUGAUGAAGGAGGAGACGAUGGUGGUGAUGAGAUUCGUAACGGUGAUGCCCAAUCUAUACGAUUGCAACUGCUGCCUCGUUUGGUGAAGUUGAAAGUCGAAGGUUGCCCAAAGCUGAGUGCUCUCCCGCGACAGCUUGGCGAGGACACCGCCAGCUUAAAGGAGCUCUUGUUAAUUGGAGCGAACAGCUUGAAGGCCGUGAAUGACCUCCCAGUGCUUGAGCUCCUUGUGAUUGAGGAUUGUGAAGGCAUGGAGAAGGUCUCCAACCUCCCUGAAGUGUCAAAACUACAAGUACGUGGUUGUCCAAACUUAAGCCAUGUAGAGGGGUUGGGCAAUUUGCAGCAGCUGGGGUUGGGCGAGGAUAUGCAGGAGAUAUCUUCCCGUUGGGUGCCUGGGCUUCAGAACCAGCGCCAGCGACUUCAUGGCGAAGACCUGGAUGUCUACACACUAUCUACCGGUUAGAUGGCAAGGAAAGCACAAGGACCGGUGCCACAGCUCGCUUCGACAGGCAAAACGCACGUGACACAUACUAAGCCUGUCAAUGGAAGUGGUUGGUGGAUGGGCCAUGCUGCUAAGCUGACAGAGCUGCAGACUGAACACGGCACGACGUGUGCAUGAAUUUCGGGAGGUCAAUGAUGGGAACCUCAGCGGAGAGCAGAAAUGCAGAAGAUGACUAAGGCAGAGGCGCGCAGCCGCACUUUGAAGUAGCUGUCUGUGGAAAAAGCAUCAAGUAUGAAGGGCAAGCUCUGUUCUCUGCAACCGGAAUAUUAGAUUAUUUAGACUGCUGGCUGUGAUUAAACUGAAGCGAGGUGUGUCUUUUGUGUAGUACUAACUUUGUAUUAAAUCAGCCACACUUAUCUGGGGACAGAGGGAAUAUUUGUUUACGCAUGGAUGGUCCCACAUGGAUGAUCCAUCUUGUGCUUAGGACAAAGGUUAAUCAACGGCUGCACUAAAAGACAAACCGCAAUCACCAUAAGUUUGCAGUGUUCUUCUUUUUUCACUGCACGCAAUUAAGUUUGUGAUCUACUGUUUGAGCAUUUUUCAUUGGUCACUUGUCAUCAGCAAGUUAAAUAUGACAGUUGGACCGAGCAUAUUUAUUAUUCUUGUUCAUUUUUGAA